CGUGCUUGCGCUCGGGCUGCUCCGGCGGAUCCUACCUGUGGGGCCCACUGCGCCUGCUCUCAGACUGCGGCGACCCGUGGCCGCUAGGGUCAGGCCCCGGGGACAGCCAGUCCCACACGACGCGUGGACUGUGUUCCAAGGAAGUGUUUGAAACUCGGUUUAGCACCCAGAUCCCUUUCCCCGUGGAAACAGUGUAGUAAGUGGAAGUCAAGUCAACGGGCUGCCCCCCCCGCCCCCCCCCCAGUCUGCUGAGCGCACGCGGCGCCGAGGCCGGCCCGCGGUCCCCACCGGCGCCCGGUGCCCCCUGCUCCGCACGCAGCCGCGGCGGUGACCUCCCUGCGGCGACCCGUGUCGGCCUAGGACGCGGUGCCGCACGCCCGCCUCGACCCCCGGCCCCGUGUCACAGCACGUCUGCAUCCUGUCCUGCGGGCACGGCCUCCCCCUCUGCUUUCCCGCGUGUCCACUGCGGCCCGUGGCGGGACCCGCUCCGGCCGGCGCUCUGCUCCGGGCCCUGGGCUCCACCGGCCCUGCCGGUGCUUGGAGCCCCUGAGAACCCCCGGUCAGCUGAGGGUCCAGCCCCAGCAGCCGAAGCACCGAGCCCAGCUCCUCUGUGCCGUCCCCACGGCCCACCCUGCACGGCCUUGAGUCCGCGGGCCAUGAAGACGGCAGAUGCCCGGCCCGUGCUCCCAGAGUCCCCCUGGACCGAAACAGCUGCCUGAUCAGAGAGCGCUCUCUUCGCCUAAGUGCGUCUAGGAUGCCGUCCAUGCAGGGACCAGGGCGUACUCACGGUUCCUGAGCGGGGCCUGGACGCCCCUGAAGGUGUGAUCUGAGGAUGUGUCAGUCGAGAACUCAGAAGAGUGGAGGGAAAGCUAUUUGUCCUUUUCCACAAGGUGGAGAGGAGGCACCUGCUCCCCUGUCUGUGCUCAUCUCAUGGGGCGGAAGUGAGCCUUGACCAGAGCCUCUGCCUGGGGCCGCGUGCGCCUCUUCUCCUGGCUGAGGGACAUGGCUUCCUAUCGAAUGUGAUUUCAGGACUGGGAACCUACCUGAGGUUGCUGGAAGACCCGGUUCCCCCACCUGCUGGCUACCUCGGGGCGGGAGCCCCAGAGAAAAUGUGUACCAGCCUCUAGUGUACAGUAUUUGUUCCCAAAGUGUGUUCCGUGGAACCAUCUCCUCAGCUACUCUGCAUCCGAAAAGGCUUCCAUGGUGAGGUGAGUCCGGCAGAGUCUGUCUGCCACAGUUCACGUUUUCAAGGACCUGAGGAGUCCUGCAGUGAGCAGCCAGUUUCCAAGGUGUAUUUGACUUCAGCACAGUCUCCACUCCCUUUACGCCUGCGACCCACUAUUGGGCCAAGAGAAACUCCCGCAGGAGCUUCCAGGCGGGACCUUUGUCAGGUGGGAGUGUUUUCCAGCAAGGUUGCAGCCUGUCCUCGGGCUGGAUGUGCUGCUGCAGUCCCCAUAACCCUGCGAAGGCGUGUGGAGAUGGUCUUGUCCGGUCACCUCCCAUUCCGGAUCAGGAGCUGGGGGUGGGUCAUGGCCCCUCACUUGCCAUCUCUCCUGCUGGUGGAGCUCCCGUCCAGUGGUUUUGCUUCCUCCAGACAUUGGCCCAGAUGUUACCUUCCCUCUGGGGGCUUCCUGGCUACCCAGACAGGAACUCGAGCCUGUCUUCUGUCUUCCCAGCACUGUCCAGCCACGUCUGAGCUGCUUCUGUCCGCAGCGCUAUAGGCUAACACGCCCCACGCUGUCGGCCUCAUCAGGACACCAGCCUUCUGGGGGCUUGUGGGCCGAUGGCCCGGGCGAGUGCGAGGCCUGUCCGCGCUGCAUCUAGUAGGGAUAUUGUGCUGGUCGCCUCUGUGCUCUGGCGGGAAAGCAGGUAAGAAUGGGUGUCCUGGGUGUUCGGGGGCAGACCCCGAGGCUGGCACUGAGCAGGGGCUGUAGUUCGCGCUGGCGUCAGCUGGAGCCCAGCGACAGACACGGAGCUUGGGUGCAUUUUAUCAUCGUUGUACGAUCCAGAGGCCCAGGGUGACAGGGCAAGGCCCCAGCCUCCAGGGACCUGAGCCCCUCUGACCCCGCUGCAGCGGCGUCCCGAGAGCACGGUUCCUGCCCCAGCCUCUGCUGGCCGCGGGGGUCCCAGGCCGUACCUCUCUGUUGCCAGCGGGGGGACAGGGCAGUCUUCCCUGAAGUCUUCUCUUUCCCCGGCCUCUCUCUCCCUGGCUCGGAAUCGUCGUGUCUGCGAUGGGCCCGCCCAGUGAAAACUUCCAGGAGCAUGCAUUUCAGGCAGGUCACUAGCCGUGUCUGACACAGGGACUGUGUGACUCUGGGCUGAUAACAGAGGUGAUCUGGACAAGUCCACUGGUCCCUGAGGGUCGUGGUGACAAAGCGUCCAGGGCAGAAUGGCUCACCACCAGGAACCGCUCUGUCUGUCACCCAGAAAGGCAGCGUGAGCACGGCGUGUGUCCCUGUGCUGGGGCCGUGAGCGAGACACCCCACGCUCUCUCCCAGCAUCUGAGGGGCACUGCUCAGGGGAGGGGGAACAUUCCCUCCAGCCUCGGGGGCCCCGGCUGGAUGUGUGACAGACGGGAGCGAAGGGAAGCUGCUAAAGGUGCGGAGUGUAAGUUGUGUGGGACAUGGGAGUCUUUGUGGGGAAGUGAAGGCCCAAGGACGCUGUUAGACGCGUCUGAUGAGGCAGAGAGAUAGCAGAGGCCAGGGGUGAGCUACGGGGUGCUCAGCGAGGCCUGGUGGCCCUCUAUCCUGGGAGAUGAGGCACCUCCUUCCCCCCAGUCUGGCGAGGGCUCCUCUCCCAGCACAGCCCUGUGAGCUGCUGUGCAGGAAGCGGGUGCACUGGACACAUGGGCUCUGUGACCUUCCUGCCCCUGCUAUUGCAGCCCCUUCUCCUUCUAAGGUGCGCUCUGCCCGGGGACCACGGGGCUCGCUGUCCCAGGCUGGCAGGCCCAUCGCGGCUGUCUGCCUUGUCUCUGCGUCCCUGCAUUGAGGGCCCGCUGCAGUCCUUGCCUUCCUUACCCUGCGGGAGCCCCGUGUCCACAGUGGCUCAUAGUCCAAGGUUUGCCGCGCUGCGUUGGGUUCCUGUGACAGGAAGGAUCUCGGGCUUGGGGAGCCAGCACAGCCUGUGCUGCCGGAACACAGAUCGUUGUGCCCAGAGGCGAGUGUGAGGCUCUGUACACACUGUAGGACUCUUGCCAGAAGUUUGGGUAUGGAAAGGGAGUUCUUUUUCUGCCUUCUUUAUGCUUGUUUUUAGGUAAUGUCACAGUCACUAAGUGUCACACGGUCAGUGACACUUAGUUCCGGCACAGGCGGAGCCUCAGGGUUAAACCAGGGAGCACUAGUCUUGGACUUGAGAACUCGUGCACCUGUCUGUGCCUUAGGAGGGGGUGUUGGAAAAUCAGCGCAGGUGUCCAUGACGGGCAGGGGCCUUGGGGUCAGACGCCGGGCUGGGAGCCGCCCACACCCGGCCCUGCUGUGGGAUGGCCCCAAAGCCAGGCUGGCCGGUCGGAGGAGCAGCCCCCCCCUCCCCCCCAGCUGUCCGAUCCUCCCUUAGAGAACGUGAAAUUGGAACCACUGAAGCGGCAAGGGGGUCACUGGAGCUGAGCCUUGUUCGCAGCUUUGGUCCUGCCUGCUGCCCGCUGUCCUGCGUGCCUUGCCGUGGUUUGUUGCGCAAAUGCAGC
This is a long non-coding RNA of Mustela erminea (ermine), 3679 nucleotides long. RefSeq lists it as uncharacterized. The record is from RefSeq and is a predicted model, not a curated record. The transcript has 3 exons. NCBI's taxonomy places the organism in Eukaryota, Metazoa, Chordata, Mammalia, Carnivora, Mustelidae.